This 231-nucleotide ribosomal RNA is filed under the name uncultured bacterium. Its description in RNAcentral is "partial 16S ribosomal RNA". It matches the Rfam family "Bacterial small subunit ribosomal RNA", at positions 118 to 350 of the family's 1533-position model. The record is from RNAcentral.
UGGGCAACCUGCCCUCAGCUCUGGGAUAACCCCGGGAAACCGGGGCUAAUACGGGAUACGACCUCCGCGGGCAUCUGCGGAGGUGGAAAGGUUUUCCGGCUGAGGAUGGGCCCGCGGCCUAUCAGCUAGUUGGUGGGGUGAUGGCCCACCAAGGCGACGACGGGUAGCCGGCCUGAGAGGGCGACCGGCCACACUGGGACUGAGACACGGCCCAGACUCCUACGGGAGGCA